UGCUGCAUGGCUGUCGUCAGCUCGUGUCGUGAGAUGUUCGGUUAAGUCCGGCAACGAGCGCAACCCACAUCCUUAGUUGCCAGCAGUUCGGCUGGGCACUCUAAGGAAACUGCCCGUGAUAAGCGGGAGGAAGGUGUGGAUGACGUCAAGUCCUCAUGGCCCUUACGGGUUGGGCUACACACGUGCUACAAUGGCAGUGACAAUGGGUUAAUCCAAAAAAACUGUCUCAGUUCGGAUUGG
Molecule: ribosomal RNA, 240 nt
Filed under: Phaeomonas parva
Lineage: Eukaryota; Pinguiophyceae; Pinguiochrysidales; Pinguiochrysidaceae
Description: partial Bacterial small subunit ribosomal RNA
Rfam family: Bacterial small subunit ribosomal RNA
Source: RNAcentral